AUUGAACGCUGGCGGCAUGCUUUACACAUGCAAGUCGAACGGCAGCGCGGGCUUCGGCCUGGCGGCGAGUGGCGAACGGGUGAGUAAUGCAUCGGAACGUGCCCAGUAGUGGGGGAUAGCCCGGCGAAAGCCGGAUUAAUACCGCAUACGACCUGAGGGUGAAAGCGGGGGACCGAAAGGCAUCGCGCUAUUGGAGCGGCCGAUGUCGGAUUAGCUAGUUGGUGGGGUAAAGGCUUACCAAGGCGACGAUCCGUAGCUGGUCUGAGAGGACGACCAGCCACACUGGGACUGAGACACGGCCCAGACUCCUACGGGAGGCAGCAGUGGGGAAUUUUGGACAAUGGGGGCAACCCUGAUCCAGCCAUGCCGCGUGCGGGAAGAAGGCCUUCGGGUUGUAAACCGCUUUUGUUCGGGAAGAAAUCCUCUGGGCUAAUACCCCGGGGGGAUGACGGUACCGGAAGAAUAAGCACCGGCUAACUACGUG
This 484-nucleotide ribosomal RNA is filed under the name uncultured bacterium. RNAcentral describes it as "partial 16S ribosomal RNA". It matches the Rfam family "Bacterial small subunit ribosomal RNA", at positions 29 to 507 of the family's 1533-position model. The record is from RNAcentral.